This 301-nucleotide ribosomal RNA is filed under the name uncultured bacterium. RNAcentral's name for it is "partial 16S ribosomal RNA". It matches the Rfam family "Bacterial small subunit ribosomal RNA", at positions 509 to 807 of the family's 1533-position model. The record is from RNAcentral.
CAGUCGCCGCGGUAACACGUAGGGUGCAAGCGUUAAUCGGAAUUACUGGGCGUAAAGCGUGCGCAGGCGGUUUGUUAAGACAGAUGUGAAAUCCCCGGGCUCAACCUGGAAACUGCAUUUGUGACUGGCAAGCUAGAGUGUGGCAGAGGGGGGUGGAAUUCCGCGUGUAGCAGUGAAAUGCGUAGAUAUGCGGAGGAACACCGAUGGCGAAGGCAGCCCCCUGGGCCAACACUGACGCUCAUGCACGAAAGCGUGGGGAGCAAACAGGAUUAGAGACCCGAGUAGUCCCUGUCUCUUAUAC